UCACAGUUGCCUGAUUCCAUGUGGAGGGGUGUUCUCCUCGCUCAAAACCACUCCAACCUGAUCUGAACCAUCUCAGCCCAGAGCCAGCGGAUGGGCUUUUGGACAGUGACUGGGUCGUGAGAGCACUAACUUCAUGAUGAAAAGUCGAACGGAAAUGGAAAGCAGCAGUGGCUAACGAAAUUGGAAGGCACACAUGUCAGGCAGCGCUUCUGGGAAAGCGCUCACCGUGCCAGGUCUAACGAGCCUCGGUGGCAGCAAAGUGUGUGGCAGUCUCGGGGGUCAAGCUGAGCACCUACCGGCUUAUGAAGC
Molecule: long non-coding RNA, 309 nt
Organism: Fukomys damarensis (Damara mole-rat)
Lineage: Eukaryota; Metazoa; Chordata; Mammalia; Rodentia; Bathyergidae
Exons: 3
Source: RefSeq, a predicted model, not a curated record